RNAcentral lists this ribosomal RNA (224 nucleotides) under uncultured bacterium. Its description in RNAcentral is "partial 16S ribosomal RNA". It matches the Rfam family "Bacterial small subunit ribosomal RNA", at positions 109 to 334 of the family's 1533-position model. The record is from RNAcentral.
AGUAACACUGGGUAACCUGCCUUAUGGAGGGGGGUAACAGAGAGAAAUCACUGCUAAUACCGCAUAAGCACACAGUACCGCAUGGUACAGGGUGAAAAGAUUUAUCGCCAUAAGAUGGACCCGCGUCUGAUUAGCCAGUUGGCAGGGUAAAAGCCUACCAAAGCAACGAUCAGUAGCCGAUCUGAGAGGAUGACCGGCCACAUUGGGACUGAGACACGGCCCAA